GACAGAGGUGCCAAGCGUUAGGCGGAAUCACUGGGCUUAAAGCGUGUGUAGGCGGAUUGGUAAGUACCUUGUGAAAUCCCACAGCUCAACUGUGGAACUGCUCGGUAUACUGCUUAUCUUGAGCCACUUAGGGGCUGUCGGAACAAAUGGUGGAGCGGUGAAAUGCGUAGAUAUCGGGAAGAACACCCGUGGCGAAGGCGGUUCUCUGGGACGGUACUGACGCUGAGACGCGAAAGCGUGGGGAGCGAACAGG
RNAcentral lists this ribosomal RNA (253 nucleotides) under uncultured bacterium. RNAcentral describes it as "partial 16S ribosomal RNA". It matches the Rfam family "Bacterial small subunit ribosomal RNA", at positions 524 to 776 of the family's 1533-position model. The record is from RNAcentral.